This 31-nucleotide non-coding RNA is filed under the name Rattus norvegicus (Norway rat). Lineage: Eukaryota; Metazoa; Chordata; Mammalia; Rodentia; Muridae. The record is from RNAcentral.
UCUCUCAAAACAAUCUCACUGGUGCGAGAAU